Molecule: long non-coding RNA, 727 nt
Organism: Sebastes umbrosus (honeycomb rockfish)
Lineage: Eukaryota; Metazoa; Chordata; Actinopteri; Perciformes; Sebastidae
Exons: 3
Source: RefSeq, a predicted model, not a curated record
AGUGGCUCUGACACUCAUCUUAUGAAUGUAGCUUUAAUGUGCAGCAAGAAAAUGAAACGGCAAGAAUUAAUUACCACGAAUUUAUCAUUAAAGGAUCCAAAAAAGUAACUGUAAUCUCUGUGAGAUUAAUUGUUGGAUUGAUUAUCGGACAUACACGGAUAAUUAAUGAUGUUGUGUUGUUUCCUUCUUUAAGACAUUUUUAAGAGCCAUGUAUUGUAUUUGUGGUAUUUUAUCUGUGUUAGGUGUAAUAUGCCUCCAAGCACUAGGGGGUGUAUGGUGUAGGCAGAGGCCGGUCUCAGGCAGCUCAUUGAGGCCACAAGCCAGUUACCACAGGUGCAGCUGAUCAGGAGAAGCAAACAGCUUUUGGCUGUUCUCUGAGGAGAUCGUCUGUUUUGUGCUCUAUUGUGUUUCGUAUGAGGUUAUUUUGUGUUUAUCAAAGGAUAUCGUGUGCUGUUUUGUCUCAACAAGGUAUUAAAAGUGACGGACACGGAUGGACCUGAUGGAGUUCCUCCCACCACAGUCCCAACAUCAGGAACCGAGUAGAUCUCAUCCACCUGCAGACACACACACAUCAUGGAAAUCUUCUAUCAGUGUGCUGCUCACCUCUCCUUUGCUGUUGAAGCCCAGGAUCUCGAAGCUGAUGCUGGAGGUGCGUCCGGUCUGGAUCUCGUGCAGAUGUCUGAAGAGGUUUAGCCGUGCACGGCCUCGCCCGUUGUCCAGCUCGCCC